GGUGGGCGACGGCAUAAAAACAUCGUAUAUAAUAUAAUUUUGUUUUUUCGAAAAAUCGAUAGCUUCAAGUUGCAGCUUGCAGGAGACAUCGAUCUCUCCACCGUCCCCGUGGGAAAAUUUAUUGAAGAGAAGAUCUUUGAGAGACAAAGGGAGAGAGGGAUGAGUUCAAUCUCAAUAACCAGAUCGUUGCGUUUGCGUUCCUUAAUAUUAUUUUUCGCCUCAAUUUCUCUGCAAUUCAUUUCAGGCAUUUCUGGUGAUCCAUCUAGUUCCAAAAAUGGCACAAAGGCCAAUGCCCAUACUUCUGGUAGCAAUACUGGGAGAAAGAUUGUCAUCAUACUUCUUGUGUUUGUGGCAGUAGGGUUGUUUUCAUUUUUCCUUUUCAAAUUUUGGCAAAAGAAGAAAAGAGAAGAGCAGUAUGCUCGUCUUCUGAAGUUGUUUGAAGAGGAUGAUGAGCUUGAGGUUGAACUUGGGCUGCGGGAUUGAUGCUUUAAUGUUGAAAAUUACAUUCAUUGUAGUUUGAGGUGCGAUUAUUAAUUUUAUGCGUUUGGUUCCCGUUUGUGAGAUUUUAUAGUUUCUUUGUUAAUAUGCUUUAGGCAUAAAGUUUGUUUAUGGAUUGAUGCUUAAACUGUUGAAUUAAAUUAGUAAAACUAAAAUGCAUGUGUGGAGGGAGCUUGCACUUUUGGGUUUGGUGAAGACGUGGCCUAGUCUUCUAGUCACUCAAAGUUGCAGUCCAUGCACGUCAAAAAGUCUGAUGGUCUUCAAAUUGUUUCAUGAAUUAAUCUGUGCAUGCGAUCAUGUCCCUUUUUUUUAUAUUUUUAUCUUUUCCUUUUUUUACCCAUAUAGCAUUAAUUGUUGAACAUGGAUGAACAAAAUGAAAGUAUAAAUACGUGGGAGAGGAAGCUUAUGCUUAAUAACAUUAUUAGUGGUUGCUAGCAAUAUGUAUGAAUGUCCAAUCCGUCUCUUCCUCAUAUUUGCUCCAUGUCUAUCUAUCUUCCCAUUAGAUCUGAGUUCCAGGAUUUAUCCAUCGAUCACUUUUCCCCUACAACAUCCAGCCCCUGACUCCUUUAUCCAUUGUCUUUUCGCACAGAAGCCUGAUGGCUUCUGGAAUUUUUCUUCUCUCCCUUUUACUUGUUUAAUGUUCUAAUAGACAUAUCUGGUUUUAUUUGUUAAGAUUUUCUUCUUUUUUGUUUUGUCUUUUUGUUAAGGAAUUGGUAAAAUGUACUGUGAACAAGCUUUCUCACCAAAAAAAAUAUUCUUUCCUGUACUUCUAUGAAUAGUGAGUGUAUAUUCAAUCACUAAGGUCCUUGCGAUGUCAGCAUAACAAUUUUUGCACAUUUUGUAUUAAUAUCUAUCAUUUUGCUCCAUUCCUACGGCCCAACAUGGAAGAAAGAAUAAGGAGACAAAUGAGUAUUUUGUUGUUAUCAAUGAUCACAUGUAAUGAAGCUUCUGCUAAAUACAAGCUAUUCUAUUUUGUGAUUCAAAUUUAUAAGAGGUUACUUCUUUCCUUGUUAUCCUACAUUUAAACUUUUUUGGCAUUCCAUUCUAGCAAGAGCUGUUGAAUACUUGAUUUAGUGAUGGUAUUUUAACUCUGUGGCUACCAAUGGUUUCCAUUUUUGUCUUUGAUGUGCAGGCUAAAAUGGAAUUAUUACUAGGAAAACUCCUUCCCCUGAGGGCCAUGAUUGGGAUUUGGGGAUGUCCCACUUUGAGGUUAGAUGUUUCUCAAUUACAUAGUGUAAUAUCUGUAAUCAAUUUUCAAAAUUAGAACUUGUAAUUGAUAUCGAUUCUUUAGAGUAUCUAGAGAAGAGAAGGAUACUAUCUUGUAUAAGAUGUAUGAGGGGUCUGAGCUCCAGAUUGUAAAAAUGAAAUCUUUAUUCUGAUAGACAUUGAAGUUGUAUAAGAAUUAAGAGUUUUGACUGAGGAUUCUUGAAUAGCAGUAUACGUUUCUUAUUACUGGAAAGGACAAGUGAUGCAACUCUCACCCUGAGUUUUGGAGGUCAGGUUCACGAUUUCGGUAUCUGCUAUAUUAUAUUUGAAGCAAUAUUUUCUACCAGUGUGAGUUUGUGGGCACACCCUUGAUCUUUUUCUUGUUUAGUGCAGGA
This 2099-nucleotide unclassified non-coding RNA is filed under the name Hevea brasiliensis (rubber tree). Lineage: Eukaryota; Viridiplantae; Streptophyta; Magnoliopsida; Malpighiales; Euphorbiaceae. The record is from RNAcentral.